This is a long non-coding RNA of Neocloeon triangulifer, 1108 nucleotides long. RefSeq lists it as uncharacterized. Lineage: Eukaryota; Metazoa; Arthropoda; Insecta; Ephemeroptera; Baetidae. The transcript is spliced from 3 exons. The record is from RefSeq and is a predicted model, not a curated record.
GCGCCGAGCUCGGCUCCCCAGCAACAACCACGUGAGAAGAAGAAGAAGGGCCAGCAGAGGUGCAGAGAGAAAAGAAGGAAAAGAGCAUCAGAGAAUUAAAAAAACGACGCUGAAGAAGACUUUUUAGCUAAAAUAUGAGCCUAAGAUGUUGCAAAUUAAGGACCAGUCUAAUGAAAGCCAAAAAAUCAAUUAAUACUUUUGGAAUUUGAGACGCACAAAUUUUUGCCUCCUGCCGAGUUCCCUCUCCUCAGCUCGCAAUUAGUGAAACUCGCCGGUUGAUCAAAACCUUGCAAGGCCAAAGCAUCAUGUGACUCUCGUUGGCUCGCAAUUGAAGCCGAAUCGCGCGAUGCUCGGUGGCGUCAAAUAAAUAAUGUAAACAAACAAGGUCGCUGAACGUCCGGAUGGCGGCGAACAACGUUAGGCGCAAAAGUAAUGCGAAUCCUAAUGUUGGUGUUUUAUUAUCGCGCGCCGGGAUAGAUGAUCUCGCGAUUAUCUCGUAAAAAUUGCCGCUUCCUUUUUAUCUCGCACAUUUAUUUCUUUUUUCUCCGCGUCUCUUAUCAAGUAGGUCAAACUUGGGAAAUGACGCGCAAUAUAAUAAAGCAGCUCGAUGAUGGAGCCUCGGCCGCCGCCGCCGUUUUAUGAAUGAAUGAAAUCCGAGAUUAUAGUGCCGGCGGUGGGCGGGACGGACCAAUGGACGCGCGGAUAAUGCACCACAGAUUAUCGCCCCGCGUUUAUGCUGCUCUUUCCCCCUUUGUGUUAUUACGAUGUGUCGGACCAGAGUUCUCUGCUGACCCCUGCUUGAAACCUGCCAGUAAUAUUUAUUAUGGUGCAAGGGGCUUUCCGCCGCCGCCAAAUAAUAAAAAUCCGUAUACGGUCCGGCGGCACCCCAGCAGCUAUAUCGUUCUUUAUCUGCGCGUUUUCCGAUUCGAUCUGCGUGCUUUUAAGAUCCAAUUUCCGCCAACUGGAAAAAAAAGAGUCUCCAGGUUUUCCAGGAAAGCCGCGAUUUUUACGAGGAAGGAGAGAGGAAAUCUGAGAUAAUUGUUUCAGGCUUAAUUAAGACAUCAAAACCCUUAUUAAAGAGAUUCAAAUAAAAGGAAUAUUUCAAAUU